RNAcentral lists this ribosomal RNA (490 nucleotides) under uncultured bacterium. RNAcentral's name for it is "partial 16S ribosomal RNA". It matches the Rfam family "Bacterial small subunit ribosomal RNA", at positions 28 to 507 of the family's 1533-position model. The record is from RNAcentral.
GAUGAACGCUAGCUACAGGCUUAACACAUGCAAGUCGAGGGGCAGCAUGGUCUUAGCUUGCUAAGGCCGAUGGCGACCGGCGCACGGGUGAGUAACACGUAUCCAACCUGCCGUCUACUCUUGGACAGCCUUCUGAAAGGAAGAUUAAUACAAGAUGGCAUCAUGAGUUCACAUGUUCACAUGAUUAAAGGUAUUCCGGUAGACGAUGGGGAUGCGUUCCAUUAGAUAGUAGGCGGGGUAACGGCCCACCUAGUCUUCGAUGGAUAGGGGUUCUGAGAGGAAGGUCCCCCACAUUGGAACUGAGACACGGUCCAAACUCCUACGGGAGGCAGCAGUGAGGAAUAUUGGUCAAUGGGCGAGAGCCUGAACCAGCCAAGUAGCGUGAAGGAUGACUGCCCUAUGGGUUGUAAACUUCUUUUAUAAAGGGAUAAAGUCGGGUAUGUAUACCCGUUUGCAUGUACUUUAUGAAUAAGGAUCGGCUAACUCCGUG